GAAGGAUGUGUGGCUCCUGACAGCC
This 25-nucleotide non-coding RNA is filed under the name Cricetulus griseus (Chinese hamster). Lineage: Eukaryota; Metazoa; Chordata; Mammalia; Rodentia; Cricetidae. The record is from RNAcentral.